CUUACCAUUCCUUCUCUUCAAUG
RNAcentral lists this small RNA (23 nucleotides) under Arabidopsis thaliana (thale cress). Its description in RNAcentral is "ATSL109280". The record is from RNAcentral. Lineage: Eukaryota; Viridiplantae; Streptophyta; Magnoliopsida; Brassicales; Brassicaceae.